Molecule: ribosomal RNA, 526 nt
Filed under: uncultured bacterium
Lineage: Bacteria
Description: partial 16S ribosomal RNA
Rfam family: Bacterial small subunit ribosomal RNA
Source: RNAcentral
GACGAACGCUGGCGGCGUGCUUAACACAUGCAAGUCGAACGAAGAGCGAUGGAAGCUUGCUUCUAUCAAUCUUAGUGGCGAACGGGUGAGUAACGCGUAAUCAACCUGCCCUUCAGAAGGGGACAACAGUUGGAAACGACUGCUAAUACCGCAUACGAUCUAAUCUCGGCAUCGAGGAUAGAUGAAAGGUGGCCUCUACAUGUAAGCUAUCACUGAAGGAGGGGAUUGCGUCUGAUUAGGUAGUUGGAGGGGUAACGGCCCACCAAGGCGAUGAUCAGUAGCCGGUCUGAGAGGAUGAACGGCCACAUUGGGACUGAGACACGGCCCAGACUCCUACGGGAGGCAGCAGUGGGGAAUCUUCCGCAAUGGACGAAAGUCUGACGGAGCAACGCCGCGUGAGUGAUGACGGCCUUCGGGUUGUAAAGCUCUGUUAAUCGGGACGAAAGGCCUUCUUGCGAAUAGUGAGAAGGAUUGACGGUACCGGAAUAGAAAGCCACGGCUAACUACGUGCCAGCCGCCGCGGUAA